CUGGACAUUUUCGGUGAAACCUGUGUGAACAGACAACUGGAGGGUCAGAUGAUUUAUCCUCUCCCCAGUACCUUGGCACAAGGCUAGGCUACAGAAUGAGAUGCACGUAAGAAGUCUGUGACCUGGACCAGAGCAGCCCAGCUGAACACAUGCUGGAUUGGAAGAACCACCUUUGACCUGAAGACCUGUGCACCUCAGGAGUAUGCUCAAAGAGGUGAGGCUAUUAGGUGGUGAACUGCUGAUGAGAACCCCGUGCUAACAAGACAGAGGGAGAAAGGAGUUUGGAGACAGAAAGACGGAAGAGUUGAUAUUCCGCUCAUUCAGGAGAGAUUUGAUGAAAAAAAUUAUAUUUUGGCAUCAUCUUGACUCUUGAACUUACUCCCAGAUCAGCUACAAAUUUGUCCUAUGGCCUGAGGCACUGAAAACACGACAGAGCUCUGCAAUA
RNAcentral lists this long non-coding RNA (445 nucleotides) under Homo sapiens (human). RNAcentral's name for it is "HSALNT0190227". The record is from RNAcentral. Lineage: Eukaryota; Metazoa; Chordata; Mammalia; Primates; Hominidae.